RNAcentral lists this unclassified non-coding RNA (1124 nucleotides) under Hevea brasiliensis (rubber tree). The record is from RNAcentral. Lineage: Eukaryota; Viridiplantae; Streptophyta; Magnoliopsida; Malpighiales; Euphorbiaceae.
UUCGAAAUGCCUUUUCUCGUGCGACAAUUCGAGUUAAAGAAUAUGACCGCAGUCGAAGUCGCAGCCGCAGUCGCAGUCGCAGUCGCUCUUACUCCAGAGGGAAGAGUGUUAGUCGAAGCCGAAGCCGUAGCCGAAGUAGAAGCCGAAGCAAGAGCAAAAGCAAAUCUCCUAAAGUUAAGUCUUCAAAGCGCUCAAGAUCUCGUUCAAGGUCUGUGUCUUCUCAGUCUCGUUCUGGGUCAAAAGGACGUCCUGUCUCAAGAUUUUGGAUAUGUGCGGCGGUUUGUGGAUUUGCAUAUUAGGAUCUUGAGUGGAUAAUGGUCUUGCCUGCAACUCUUUUUGUUGUGGAGAUUGGGAUCAUGAAGAUCACGGAUUCUAUGGUGGAGCUGGACUGGGGAACCAACUGCCACCUGAAUUUGGAUCACCACCUAUUUUUUGGUAGAAGCAUGUUCUAACAAAGCGAAAUAAAGACUAGUUCAUUCUUUUGGUAUCCUGCUAAUUGGUCUCUUUGACUGCUCGAAUUUAAAAUAUUACAUAGUCUCAAUGGUGUAACUUGCAUUGUUUUAUACUUGCCAUAUUUUCCACUCUGGAUUCUGCCAAAUUGCUACUUUCAUUAUGGUCAUGCUGAGGUGGAAGUGAAAUCAAAGCAGUUGUGGAGGAAACUUGUUAAGUGGCGGGACUGGGAUAUUAAAUUAAGUUCUUUCUGGAAAUUUUGCAGAUCUCCAUCAAGGUCCAGAUCACCAGCACCAGCUCGUUCAAAACAAUUAAGUGAAAGUCCCAAAAGACGCACUCCCAGCAGUAGCCCCAAAAGACGCACUCCAAGCAGAAGCCCAAGCCGGAGUAGGAGCCGUAGCCAAAGUUUGUCCAGGUAAGAUUGCUGGAAUCAUCAGCGAUUGAGGGUGCCAUCAUGCUGUGUUUGAGCAGCCUGGUCCACAGUUGGGAGUCUAAGGGCCCGGAAGAGUCUGUUGCUCUGCUUACAUCAAAAUAUUUCUGUGUCAUUGAACCAUGUCAAGACUGUAAUAAUUAUUAUACUUGUUUUUGUAGCUCUUAAUCUUGGUAAAAGACUGCAAUAUAGUAGAUGAUAUUGUGAAAAACGGAAUUUAAUUUCCUUGAAUUGCAGAUUAUUG